Molecule: ribosomal RNA, 1517 nt
Filed under: metagenome
Description: bacterial SSU rRNA
Rfam family: Bacterial small subunit ribosomal RNA
Source: RNAcentral
AGAGUUUGAUUCUGGCUCAGAACGAACGCUGGCAGCGUGGAUUAGGCAUGCAAGUCGAACGAGAGCAUUAGUGUAGCAAUACAAUGAUGCAAGAGUGGCGAAAGGGCGAGGAACACGUGGGCAAUCUGCCUCUUAGUAAGGGAUAACCCGCCGAAAGGCGAGCUAAUACCGGAUGUGAUGGUCUGCCGCAUGGUGGAUUGAUCAAAGAUGGGGAACCGCAAGGUCCUGUCGCUAGGAGAGGAGCCCGCGUCCUAUCAGCUUGUUGGUGAGGUAACGGCUCACCAAGGCUUACGGGUAGCUGGUCUGAGAGGAUGGUCAGCCGCACUGGGACUGAGACACUGCCCAGACUCCUACGGGAGGCUGCAGUCGAGGAUCAUUCGCAAUGGGCGCAAGCCUGACGAUGCGACGCUGCGUGGAGGAUGAAGGCCUUCGGGUCGUAAACUCCUGUCAUUCGGGAACAAUAAAACGGCCGGUAAUACCGGCUGGAAUUGAUAGUACCGGAAGAGGAAGCCACGGCUAACUCUGUGCCAGCAGCCGCGGUAAUACAGAGGUGGCAAGCGUUGUUCGGAUUUACUGGGCGUAAAGGGUGCGUAGGUGGUAUGGUGUGUCGGGCGUGAAAGCCAUCGCUCAACGAUGGAAUGCCGUCCGAAACUACCAAACUAGAGUGCAGGAGAGGAGAGCGGAAUACUUGGUGUAGCGGUGGAAUGCGUUGAGAUCAAGUAGAACACCGGUGGCGUAGGCGGCUCUCUGGAAUGUUACUGACACUGAGGCACGAAAGUUGGGGGAGCAAACAGGAUUAGAUACCCUGGUAGUCCCAACCCUAAACGGUGCACACUUGGUGUAGGAGGAAUUGACCCCUUCUGUGCCGGAGCUAACGCGUUAAGUGUGCCGCCUGGGGAGUACGGUCGCAAGAUUAAAACUCAUAAAUUGACGGGGGCCCGCACAAGCGGAGGAGCAUGUGGCUUAAUUCAUGCAACGCGAAGAACCUUACCAGGGCUUGACAUGUAGCUGGACGUCCCAUGAAAGUGGGAUUCCUUCGAGGCUGCUACACAGGUGCUGCAUGGCUGUCGUCAGUUCGUGCCGUGAGGUGUUGGGUUAAGUCCCGCAACGAACGCAACCCCUGUAUUUAGUUGCCACCGGCGCAAGCCGAGCACUCUAAAUAGACUGCCCGUGAUAAGCGGGAGGAAGGUGGGGAUGACGUCAAGUCAGUAUGGCCUUUAUGCCCUGGGCUGCACACGUGCUACAAUGGUCGGUACAGAGGGAAGCUAGACCGCGAGGUGGAGCAAAUCCCAAAAAACCGGCCCCAGUUCAGAUUGAAGGCUGCAACUCGCCUUCAUGAAGUUGGAUUCGCUAGUAAUGGCACAUCAGCUACGGUGCCGUGAAUACGUUCCCGGGCCUUGUACACACCGCCCGUCACAUCAUGAAAGCCGUCUGCACCCGACGUCGUUGAUUCAACCUGCAAAGGAGAUAGACGCCUAAGGUGUGGGUGGUGAUUGGGAUGAAGUCGUAACAAGGUA